This 548-nucleotide ribosomal RNA is filed under the name uncultured fungus. RNAcentral's name for it is "eukaryotic LSU rRNA". It matches the Rfam family "Eukaryotic large subunit ribosomal RNA", at positions 87 to 649 of the family's 3401-position model. Lineage: Eukaryota; Fungi. The record is from RNAcentral.
CGGCGAGUGAAGCGGUAACAGCUCAAAUUUGAAAUCUGGCUNCUUCGGGGCCCGAGUUGUAAUUUGUAGAAGAUGCUUUGGGCGUGGCUCCGGUCUAAGUUCCUUGGAACAGGGCGUCAUAGAGGGUGAGAAUCCCGUAUGUGACUGGGUGCCNUCGUCCGUGUAAAGCUCUUUCGACGAGUCGAGUUGUUUGGGAAUGCAGCUCAAAAUGGGUGGUAAAUUUCAUCUAAAGCUAAAUAUUGGCCAGAGACCGAUAGCGCACAAGUAGAGUGAUCGAAAGAUGAAAAGCACUUUGGAAAGAGAGUUAAACAGUACGUGAAAUUGUUGAAAGGGAAGCGCUUGCAAUCAGACUUGCGUGUGGUUGAUCAUCCGAGCUUCUGCUCGGUGCACUCGAUCAUACUCAGGCCAGCAUCGGUUUGGGCGGUUGGAUAAAGGCCUUGGGAAUGUGGCUCCUCUCGGGGAGUGUUAUAGCCCUCGGUGCAAUGCAGCCUGUCCGGACCGAGGACCGCGCUUCGGCUAGGAUGCUGGCGUAAUGGUUGUAAGCGACC